Molecule: small nuclear RNA, 157 nt
Organism: Nycticebus coucang (slow loris)
Lineage: Eukaryota; Metazoa; Chordata; Mammalia; Primates; Lorisidae
Product: U1 spliceosomal RNA
Exons: 1
Source: RefSeq, a predicted model, not a curated record
AUACUUACCUGACAGGGAAGACACCAUGAUCACAAAGGUAGCUUUCCCAAGGUGAGAUUUAUCCAUUGCACUCCAAAUGUGCUGUGAUUUCCCCAAAUGUGGGAAACUGGACUGCAUAAUUUGUGGUAAUGGGGGACUGCCUUCAUACUUUCCCCUG